CAAUAGCGUAUAUUAAAGUUGUUGCAGUUAAAAAGCUCGUAGUUGGAUUUGUGGCGUACGGUGUGUUCCGGGCACUUGUUGUCUGAGUAACCUGCUGUUGCCAUCCUUGGGUGGAACCUGUGUGGCAUUAGGUUGUCGUGCAGGGGAUGCCCAUCAUUUACUGUGAAAAAAUUAGAGUGUUCAAAGCAGGCUUAUGCCGUUGAAUAUAUUAGCAUGGAAUAAUGAGAUAGGACUUUUUUGCUAUUCUGUUGGUUUGCGCAAAGAGGUAAUGAUUAAUAGGGACAGUUGGGGGUAUUCGUAUUCCAUAGUCAGAGGUGAAAUUCUUGGAUUUUGGAAGACGAACUACUGCGAAAGCAUUUACCAAGGAUGUUUUCAUUAA
Molecule: ribosomal RNA, 379 nt
Filed under: uncultured eukaryote
Lineage: Eukaryota
Description: partial 18S ribosomal RNA
Rfam family: Eukaryotic small subunit ribosomal RNA
Source: RNAcentral